Molecule: non-coding RNA, 555 nt
Organism: Anas platyrhynchos (mallard)
Lineage: Eukaryota; Metazoa; Chordata; Aves; Anseriformes; Anatidae
Source: RefSeq, a predicted model, not a curated record
GAAAUAAGCUCUCAGCCGGCCUCAAAUAAUUGUAGGAAGUGGGAUGCUCGCCACAGGGCACCUCCUUUGUAAUUUGUGAGGGGAUGAUGACAUUUGAAUGCUAGGAAAUAGGAGCAUCCAAAAAAAAAAACCAACAAUGUUCAUUCCCGAUAUCGAGUCUUGAUUAUUUUUCAGAGGAGUUCAAAGCCCCGUAGAUGUGAUUUGUGGGAUGGAGUCCUCGUAGGGAAUCGUUCUGGGGCUGGCAAGGGGCUGAGCAUCGGACAGCAGUGUUGGAGCUUGCUUCUGGGCUUCAGUGAUGGAAAGGAUUUUCCUGUGGGGUACAGAGCUUUCCCCGGAGAUCUGACGUGCUAACGCAGGAGGAUUCGGCAGCUGGAGCCUCUGAAGGUUUCAUUGAGAGCCAGGAGCCUGAUUCUGCCGCCGUCUCACCCAGGAGCUGGUGUUUUCCAGAGGACGAAGGGGGAGUGAGCCCAACCCCAACCGCACGCGUGCACCCAUCAGCGUUAAGCGUCCCUUGUUUUUAACCUCGAGCAGCUUUGAGGAUGUAGAGUGAAAAAG